AUCCAUGGUAUCUAUUCAAUAAAUAUACUUUCUUUUCUUUCCAUCACAAAAGGAAAACCCCCUUUUACAUGGGGGUCUUACACCUGGAUCGCGACAACAUGUACACGUGGGAAACAAUAACCAAACAGCAGCUUUACAUUCUGACAUAAUAGAGGGCUGAUGCCAUCAGGGGGUGGGACAGUGUGCCCCAGAGAACAACGCACACACAGGAGUAUGGGCAGGAGGAAAAUGAGAGGCCAUCACUGCUCUGGUCAGGGCUGUCUUCAGGAAGGGGGGACGGCCCUGAGCCCGGAGUGUGCAGAUGAGGAAAAGAUGGAACUGAGGGAGGCGGUUGAGCUUGAGCAAGAAGCGAGCUCUGAAGACAGCAGUACAGUGGAUGCUACAGGACAAGGAUCAGCUAACUGGAGCAGCACAUGA
This 417-nucleotide long non-coding RNA is filed under the name Fukomys damarensis (Damara mole-rat). RNAcentral describes it as "lncRNA (ENSFDAG00000030901.1)". Lineage: Eukaryota; Metazoa; Chordata; Mammalia; Rodentia; Bathyergidae. The record is from RNAcentral.